UACGUAGGGUGCGAGCGUUAUCCGGAAUCAUUGGGCGUAAAGCGUCCGUAGGUGGCUUUUCAAGUCUGCCGUCAAAGACCGGGGCUUAACCCCAGAAAGGCGGUGGAAACUGAAUAGCUAGAGUGCGGUAGGGGUAGAGGGAAUUCCCGGUGUAGCGGUGAAAUGCGUAGAGAUCGGGAAGAACACCGGUGGCGAAAGCGCUCUACUGGACCGUAACUGACACUCAGGGACGAAAGCUAGGGGAGCGAAUGGG
RNAcentral lists this ribosomal RNA (253 nucleotides) under uncultured bacterium. RNAcentral describes it as "partial 16S ribosomal RNA". It matches the Rfam family "Bacterial small subunit ribosomal RNA", at positions 524 to 776 of the family's 1533-position model. The record is from RNAcentral.